RNAcentral lists this ribosomal RNA (116 nucleotides) under Diaphorina citri (Asian citrus psyllid). Lineage: Eukaryota; Metazoa; Arthropoda; Insecta; Hemiptera; Psyllidae. The record is from RNAcentral.
GGCAGUGGCAAUAGCACUUUGAAUGUAUCAGUUCCCAAUGGAUCACUGAAGUUAAGCAACGUUGUACGUGGUUAGUAUCGGGAUAGGUGACCAUUUGGGAAAUCUCGUGCUAGCCU